This 411-nucleotide long non-coding RNA is filed under the name Cricetulus griseus (Chinese hamster). RNAcentral describes it as "lncRNA (ENSCGRG00015042638.1)". Lineage: Eukaryota; Metazoa; Chordata; Mammalia; Rodentia; Cricetidae. The record is from RNAcentral.
CAGGCACAGAUUUGGCCCCAGGGGUUAUUACAAAGGUGAAAGAGACACCAUUUUUACCACCCCUCAGGUUUCCCUUUAAAGGGAAUUACAGGCAAGCACAGACCAGAGCUGGGAGACGGAGAGGAGUAACACGUGGAGGUGCUGUGCCACCAGAGAGGCUUGAGAAAUCUCACGGAGGUGGUGUCCUCAGACAGAACCAUGUAAAGAGACCCAUGCUGAAGACGCAGAGAAAGGACUCCAGGACACAGACCAGCCAUCAGAAGCAGGAGUGGCCUAGAUGGCGGACAGCGAAGGAUCCUCUCUGUGCCCGUAUGUUGAUAUCCUCGAUCAAACUCUCCACCUGUCCCAUGCCAACCUCCACUUUGGUGUGAUCAGUUUUUUUAGCUUCCACAAGAGUUAAAUAUAUGAUGC